Molecule: transfer RNA, 74 nt
Filed under: Caudoviricetes sp.
Lineage: Duplodnaviria; Heunggongvirae; Uroviricota; Caudoviricetes
Description: tRNA-Ser
Rfam family: tRNA
About the family: Transfer RNA (tRNA) molecules are approximately 80 nucleotides in length. Their secondary structure includes four short double-helical elements and three loops (D, anti-codon, and T loops).
Source: RNAcentral
GCUCUUGUAGCUAUAAUUGGUAGAGCAAUCGGAUGAGCCGAAGAAGGAUGUCAGUUCGAGUCUGACCAAGGGCA